AUACCCGCUGAACUUAAGCAUAU
Molecule: ribosomal RNA, 23 nt
Filed under: Emericellopsis maritima
Lineage: Eukaryota; Fungi; Ascomycota; Sordariomycetes; Hypocreales; Bionectriaceae
Also listed under: 1 other name
Description: partial 28S ribosomal RNA
Source: RNAcentral